GAUGAACGCUGGCGGCGUGCCUAAUACAUGCAAGUCGAGCGAACAGACGAGGAGCUUGCUCCUCUGACGUUAGCGGCGGACGGGUGAGUAACACGUGGAUAACCUACCUAUAAGACUGGGAUAACUUCGGGAAACCGGAGCUAAUACCGGAUAAUAUAUUGAACCGCAUGGUUCAAUAGUGAAAGACGGUUUUGCUGUCACUUAGAGAUGGAUCCGCGCCGCAUUAGCUAGUUGGUAAGGUAACGGCUUACCAAGGCGACGAUGAGUAGCCGACCUGAGAGGGUGAUCGGCGACACUGGAACUGAGACACGGCCCAGACUCCUACGGGAGGCAGCAGUAGGGAAUCUUCCGCAAUGGGCGAAAGCCUGACGGAGCAACGCCGCGUGAGUGAUGAAGGUCUUCUGAUCGUAAAACUCUGUUAUUAGGGAAGAACAAAUGUGUAAGUAACUAUGCACGUCUUGACGGUACCUAAUCAGAAAGCCACGGCUAACUACGUG
This 497-nucleotide ribosomal RNA is filed under the name uncultured bacterium. RNAcentral's name for it is "partial 16S ribosomal RNA". It matches the Rfam family "Bacterial small subunit ribosomal RNA", at positions 28 to 507 of the family's 1533-position model. The record is from RNAcentral.